This 497-nucleotide ribosomal RNA is filed under the name uncultured bacterium. RNAcentral describes it as "partial 16S ribosomal RNA". It matches the Rfam family "Bacterial small subunit ribosomal RNA", at positions 28 to 507 of the family's 1533-position model. The record is from RNAcentral.
GAUGAACGCUGGCGGCGUGCCUAAUACAUGCAAGUCGAGCGAACGGACGAGAAGCUUGCUUUUCUGAUGUUAGCGGCGGACGGGUGAGUAACACGUGGAUAACCUACCUAUAAGACUGGGAUAACUUCGGGAAACCGGAGCUAAUACCGGAUAAUAUUUUGAACCGCAUGGUUCAUAAGUGAAAGACGGUCUUGCUGUCACUUAUAGAUGGAUCCGCGCUGCAUUAGCUAGUUGGUAAGGUAACGGCCUACCAAGGCAACGAUGCAUAGCCGACCUGAGAGGGUGAUCGGCCACACUGGAACUGAGACACGGUCCAGACUCCUACGGGAGGCAGCAGUAGGGAAUCUUCCGCAAUGGGCGAAAGCCUGACGGAGCAACGCCGCGUGAGUGAUGAAGGUCUUCGGAUCGUAAAACUCUGUUAUUAGGGAAGAACAUAUGUGUAAGUAACUGUGCACAUCUUGACGGUACCUAAUCAGAAAGCCACGGCUAACUACGUG